Long non-coding RNA from Spea bombifrons (plains spadefoot toad), 387 nucleotides. RefSeq lists it as uncharacterized. The transcript is spliced from 2 exons. The record is from RefSeq and is a predicted model, not a curated record. Lineage: Eukaryota; Metazoa; Chordata; Amphibia; Anura; Pelobatidae.
UCAGCAGUGAAAAAGAAGGGAAUGCGUGAUUGGUUAUUACGUAUGUAGCAGUGUACCAGCGCUUACACUGAGAGCUGUCACAAUUGGUCAGCAGGAAGCCAGUGAUGCUGGUUUCUGCUGACAGGGGGGUGUCCAGGCUGUGCAGUGGCAGGGGGUCCCUGCUGCUGUGAAUAAUGCAUGACGUACAGAAUACAGCUGAUUACUGGUGUUUUGAGAACAGUCAUAUAGAACUCACAUUGAAGGAGAUGUUUCACCUUGGGUGCCUCGUAAAAUAUUAUUAGAUACGUGAUGCAUCGUGUAUAGAGAAGUAAAAGAAACCCGUUGUUUUAUUUUUCUCCUCAAUGUUUCCUAUCACUUAAAAAAACUGCAUUAAAAGCUUUAUUGAGA